CCGUUUGGCUUUCUUUGGUUUUAAACCAACUCCUCUUUAGCAUUCAUUUUUACGCUACUUUUCUUUUCAGGUCGCAUUGUACUAUAGAGCCAGAUUGUCAACUGCGAUAAACUAGCAUAACUACACUGAAGGCAAGGAAACUUCCGGUUUACACUAGCUGAGGAUCUCGCUGAUAGUUUUACCCUCUUCAGUCACGAAAAGAUCACUGCUGUUCAGAGUUGGCUGAGAAGAGGGGCAGGCUCAAGACCACUUCCUUUGCUUGAGGAACGCAGCUACCGCACUAGCACAGGACUGGCCUGGGGAACACAGCAGAAAACAAUUUUCAGGAUCUCCCUUGGCAACUGGGUUGACUGGACUUCCACUAGGUGAGAAGAAUCAUAGAGACAAAGUUAGAUUCAGAGGCAUACUGCUUCUGAG
Molecule: long non-coding RNA, 417 nt
Filed under: Gopherus agassizii (Agassiz's desert tortoise)
Lineage: Eukaryota; Metazoa; Chordata; Testudines; Testudinidae
Description: lncRNA (ENSGAGG00000002979.1)
Source: RNAcentral